AUUGAACGCUGGCGGCAUGCCUAACACAUGCAAGUCGAACGGAGUAGCGGACGGGUGAGUAAUGCCGAGGAAUCUGCGUGGUACUGGGGGAUAACGUGCGGAAACGGGCGCUAAUCCCGUAUACUAUCAGCUGUGCCUAGUUCGGAUUUGCUUGUUGGUGGGGUCAUGGCCUACCAAGGCGACGAUCCGUAACUGGUCUGAGAGGAUGAUCAGCCACACUGGAACUGAGACACGGUCCAGACUCCUACGGGAGGCAGCAGUGGGGAAUAUUGGGCAAUGGGCGAAAGCCUGACCCAGCCAGGCCGCGUGUGUGAAGAAGGUCUUCGGAUUGUAAAGCUCUUUAAGUUGGGAGGCGUUACCAACAGAAUAAGCACCGGCUAACUUCGUGCCAGCAGCCGCGGUAAUAC
RNAcentral lists this ribosomal RNA (407 nucleotides) under uncultured bacterium. Its description in RNAcentral is "partial 16S ribosomal RNA". It matches the Rfam family "Bacterial small subunit ribosomal RNA", at positions 30 to 526 of the family's 1533-position model. The record is from RNAcentral.